Molecule: long non-coding RNA, 572 nt
Filed under: Arachis ipaensis
Lineage: Eukaryota; Viridiplantae; Streptophyta; Magnoliopsida; Fabales; Fabaceae
Description: long non-coding RNA (AIPA_LNC000913)
Source: RNAcentral
AUCAAACAACACAAUCAUUAAUUCAGCAUCCAAGUUCAUUCUCAAAUGUAGCACGCCAGAACAAACACAGGCAAGACAGACAAGGAAAGCACAAGUAGGUAGCAGUUACAGCAAAUAGUUCAAGUAGCAGUUAAGAACAGUUUAGCAAUUAGGCAAACCAAAACAAGUUCAAACCCAAGCAAAGCAUACAAAUGCAUAUGAUGCAUGCCUGUCCUAUGGCUGAUGAGGCUCAUCUGUCGGUUAUCCAGCCAACCCGACAAGUCUGAAUUGUCCUUAGACUGUCCCCCGACGUGCAUCCCCAAGAGUCUAUGCAUAGCUUUUUCUCAAAUAAUCAAUAUUGCUCAAUGGGGGUAUCAUUCCCGGGAAUUUAUAUAGUGCCCGGUCACCCUUACGUCGUAGGGUCAACAGAGUAUCGAGUUUUCAACCUGGUACACGUGGUGGCAAGCCACGGCACUUAAUCCAGGGAACCUCGUAUCUCAGAUAUUUCAAAUUCAUAAGCCAUAUAAAUAAUUCAUUCAUCAUUCAUCAAUAUCUAAGCCAUUCUCAAUAUCAUCAUCAUUCGUCAAUCCAUA